UACGUAGGGGGCGAGCGUUGUCCGGAUUUAUUGGGCGUAAAGAGCUCGUAGGCGGCUCUGUAAGUCGGAUGUGAAAUCCCUCGGCUUAACUGAGGGCGGCCAUUCGAUACUGCGGAGCUAGAGGCCGGUAGGGGGAAAUGGAAUUCCUGGUGUAGCGGUGAAAUGCGCAGAUAUCAGGAGGAACACCGGUGACGAAGGCGGUGUCCUGGGCCGGUCCUAACGCUGAGGAGCGAAAGCUGGGGAGCAAACAGG
RNAcentral lists this ribosomal RNA (252 nucleotides) under uncultured bacterium. RNAcentral describes it as "partial 16S ribosomal RNA". It matches the Rfam family "Bacterial small subunit ribosomal RNA", at positions 524 to 776 of the family's 1533-position model. The record is from RNAcentral.